RNAcentral lists this unclassified non-coding RNA (343 nucleotides) under soil metagenome. Its description in RNAcentral is "partial contains 5.8S ribosomal RNA, internal transcribed spacer 2, and large subunit ribosomal RNA". The stretch from base 1 to 120 matches the Rfam family "5.8S ribosomal RNA", at positions 35 to 154 of the family's 154-position model. The record is from RNAcentral.
GAUGAAGAACGUAGCGAAAUGCGAUAAGUAAUAUGAAUUGCAGAAUUCAGUGAAUCAUCGAAUCUUUGAACGCACAUUGCGCCCGCCAGCAUUCUGGCGGGCAUGCCUGUUCGAGCGUCAUUUCAACCCUCGAGCCCCCCCGGGGGCCUCGGUGUUGGGGGACGGCACACCAGCCGCCCCCGAAAUGCAGUGGCGACCCCGCCGCAGCCUCCCCUGCGUAGUAGCACACACCUCGCACCGGAGCGCGGAGGCGGUCACGCCGUAAAACGCCCAACUUUCUUAGAGUUGACCUCGGAUCAGGUAGGAAUACCCGCUGAACUUAAGCAUAUCAAUAAGCGGAGGA